RNAcentral lists this ribosomal RNA (1035 nucleotides) under uncultured Thermoproteus sp. Its description in RNAcentral is "bacterial SSU rRNA". It matches the Rfam family "Archaeal small subunit ribosomal RNA", at positions 315 to 1353 of the family's 1478-position model. The record is from RNAcentral. Lineage: Archaea; Thermoproteati; Thermoproteota; Thermoprotei; Thermoproteales; Thermoproteaceae.
UCCAGGCCCUACGGGGUGCAGCAGGCGCGAAUACUCCGCAAUGCGGGAAACCGCGACGGGGCUACCCCGAGUGCCGGGCGAAGAGCCCGGCUUUUGCCCGGUGUAAGGAGCCGGGCGAAUAAGCGGGGGGUAAGUCUGGUGUCAGCCGCCGCGGUAAUACCAGCCCCGCGAGUGGUCAGGGUGAUUACUGGGCUUAAAGCGCCCGUAGCCGGCCCGGCAAGUCGCUCCUGAAAUCCCCGGGCUCAACCCGGGGGCGGGGGGCGAUACUGCCGGGCUAGGGGGCGGGAGAGGCCGCCGGUACUCCGGGGGUAGGGGCGAAAUCCGAUAAUCCCCGGAGGACCACCAGUGGCGAAAGCGGGCGGCCAGAACGCGCCCGACGGUGAGGGGCGAAAGCCGGGGGAGCAAAGGGGAUUAGAUACCCCUGUAGUCCCGGCCGUAAACGAUGCGGGCUAGCUGUCGGCUGGGCUUAGGGCCCGGCCGGUGGCGUAGGGAAACCGUUAAGCCCGCCGCCUGGGGAGUACGGCCGCAAGGCUGAAACUUAAAGGAAUUGGCGGGGGGGCACCACAAGGGGUGAAGCUUGCGGCUUAAUUGGAGUCAACGCCGGAAACCUUACCCGGGGCGACAGCAGGAUGAAGGCCAGGCUAACGACCUUGCCGGACGAGCUGAGAGGAGGUGCAUGGCCGUCGUCAGCUCGUGCCGUGAGGUGUCUGGUUAAGUCCAGCAACGAGCGAGACCCCCACCCCUAGUUGCUUCCCCGCUCUUCGGGGCGGGGGGCACACUAGGGGGACUGCCGGCGUAAGCCGGAGGAAGGAGGGGGCCACGGCCGGUCAGUAUGCCCUGAAACCCCGGGGCUGCACGCGAGCUGCAAUGGCGGGGACAGCGGGAUCCGACCCCGAAAGGGGGAGGCAAUUCCGUAAACCCUGCCCCAGUAGGGAUCGAGGGCUGUAACUCGCCCUCGUGAACGUGGAAUCCCUAGUAACCGCGUGUCACCAACGCGCGGUGAAUGCGUCCCUGCCCCUUGCACACACCGCCCGU